Molecule: transfer RNA, 76 nt
Filed under: Dallia pectoralis (Alaska blackfish)
Lineage: Eukaryota; Metazoa; Chordata; Actinopteri; Esociformes; Umbridae
Description: tRNA-OTHER
Rfam family: tRNA
About the family: Transfer RNA (tRNA) molecules are approximately 80 nucleotides in length. Their secondary structure includes four short double-helical elements and three loops (D, anti-codon, and T loops). Further hydrogen bonds mediate the characteristic L-shaped molecular structure. tRNAs have two regions of fundamental functional importance: the anti-codon, which is responsible for specific mRNA codon recognition, and the 3' end, to which the tRNAs corresponding amino acid is attached (by aminoacyl-tRNA synthetases). tRNAs cope with the degeneracy of the genetic code in two manners: having more than one tRNA (with a specific anti-codon) for a particular amino acid; and 'wobble' base-pairing, i.e. permitting non-standard base-pairing at the 3rd anti-codon position.
Source: RNAcentral
GCUGUGAUGGCCGAGUGGUUAAGGCUUUGAAAUCCAAUGGGGUUUCUCCGCGCAGGUUAGAACCCUGCUCUUAGCG